Molecule: ribosomal RNA, 393 nt
Filed under: Staphylococcus aureus
Lineage: Bacteria; Bacillati; Bacillota; Bacilli; Caryophanales; Staphylococcaceae
Description: partial 23S ribosomal RNA
Rfam family: Bacterial large subunit ribosomal RNA
Source: RNAcentral
GUGAUGGCGUGCCUUUUGUAGAAUGAACCGGCGAGUUACGAUUUGAUGCAAGGUUAAGCAGUAAAUGUGGAGCCGUAGCGAAAGCGAGUCUGAAUAGGGCGUUUAGUAUUUGGUCGUAGACCCGAAACCAGGUGAUCUACCCUUGGUCAGGUUGAAGUUCAGGUAACACUGAAUGGAGGACCGAACCGACUUACGUUGAAAAGUGAGCGGAUGAACUGAGGGUAGCGGAGAAAUUCCAAUCGAACCUGGAGAUAGCUGGUUCUCUCCGAAAUAGCUUUAGGGCUAGCCUCAAGUGAUGAUUAUUGGAGGUAGAGCACUGUUUGGACGAGGGGCCCCUCUCGGGUUACCGAAUUCAGACAAACUCCGAAUGCCAAUUAAUUUAACUUGGGAGUC